This 493-nucleotide ribosomal RNA is filed under the name uncultured bacterium. Its description in RNAcentral is "partial 16S ribosomal RNA". It matches the Rfam family "Bacterial small subunit ribosomal RNA", at positions 30 to 523 of the family's 1533-position model. The record is from RNAcentral.
AUUGAACGCUGGCGGCAUGCCUUACACAUGCAAGUCGAACGGUAACAGGUUAAGCUGACGAGUGGCGAACGGGUGAGUAAUAUAUCGGAACGUGCCCAGUCGUGGGGGAUAACUGCUCGAAAGAGCAGCUAAUACCGCAUACGACCUGAGGGUGAAAGCGGGGGAUCGCAAGACCUCGCGCGAUUGGAGCGGCCGAUAUCAGAUUAGGUAGUUGGUGGGGGAAAGGCUCACCAAGCCAACGAUCUGUAGCUGGUCUGAGAGGACGACCAGCCACACUGGGACUGAGACACGGCCCAGAGUCCUACGGGAGGCAGCAGUGGGGAAUUUUGGACAAUGGGCGCAAGCCUGAUCCAGCCAUGCCGCGUGCGGGAAGAAGGCCUUCGGGUUGUAAACCGCUUUUGUCAGGGAAGAAAAGGUUCUGGUUAAUACCUGGGACUCAUGACGGUACCUGAAGAAUAAGCACCGGCUAACUACGUGCCAGCAGCCGCAGUAA